Non-coding RNA from Caenorhabditis elegans, 225 nucleotides. The record is from Ensembl. Lineage: Eukaryota; Metazoa; Nematoda; Chromadorea; Rhabditida; Rhabditidae.
UGCCUGGAAAAAAGUUAUGUUAAAAAAGAAGAUUCAUAAGACAUUGGAGUUAUAUGAAACAUAUAAAAUUGCACUGGGCAAUGCCUAGAAGGCUAUUUGGAAUUCCAACCAUUCUCUGAAUGUUAAAACAACCCUUAUAUUUUUUAUUAAUGCUGCAUGCAGCACUAAAUUUCAGGACCUUUUUUUAAUACAGUGCUAAUAGAAACUGCAGUACUAAUCAGUUGC